This 253-nucleotide ribosomal RNA is filed under the name uncultured prokaryote. Its description in RNAcentral is "partial 16S ribosomal RNA". It matches the Rfam family "Bacterial small subunit ribosomal RNA", at positions 525 to 777 of the family's 1533-position model. The record is from RNAcentral.
ACGUAGGGUCCGAGCGUUGCCCGGAAUUAUUGGGCGUAAAGGGCUCGUAGGCGGUUUGUCACGUCGGGUGUGAAAGCCCCGGGCUCAACCUGGGAAUUGCAUUCGAGACUGAAUAGCUAGGGUACGGUAGAGGGAAGUGGAAUUUCCGGUGUAGCGGUGAAAUGCGUAGAUAUCGGAAGGAACAUCAGUGGCGAAAGCGACUUCCUGGACCAGUACCGACGUUCAGGCACGAAAGCGUGGGGAGCAAACAGGA